This 236-nucleotide ribosomal RNA is filed under the name uncultured bacterium. RNAcentral describes it as "partial 16S ribosomal RNA". It matches the Rfam family "Bacterial small subunit ribosomal RNA", at positions 100 to 334 of the family's 1533-position model. The record is from RNAcentral.
CGGCACGGGUGAGUAACACGUAUCCAACCUGCCGUCUACUCUUGGACAGCCUUCUGAAAGGAAGAUUAAUACAAGAUGGCAUCAUGAGUCCGCAUGUUCACAUGAUUAAAGGUAUUCCGGUAGACGGUGGGGAUGCGUUCCAUUAGAUAGUAGGCGGGGUAACGGCCCACCUAGUCUUCGAUGGAUAGGGGUUCUGAGAGGAAGGUCCCCCACAUUGGAACUGAGACACGGUCCAA